RNAcentral lists this ribosomal RNA (839 nucleotides) under Methanosarcina barkeri. Its description in RNAcentral is "bacterial SSU rRNA". It matches the Rfam family "Archaeal small subunit ribosomal RNA", at positions 133 to 971 of the family's 1478-position model. The record is from RNAcentral. Lineage: Archaea; Methanobacteriati; Methanobacteriota; Methanomicrobia; Methanosarcinales; Methanosarcinaceae.
CGGGAACUGGGGAUAAUACCGGAUAACGCAUAUAUGCUGGAAUGCUUUAUGCGUAAAAUGGAUUCGUCUGCCCAAGGAUGGGUCUGCGGCCUAUCAGGUAGUAGUGGGUGUAAUGUACCUACUAGCCUACAACGGGUACGGGUUGUGAGAGCAAGAGCCCGGAGAUGGAUUCUGAGACAUGAAUCCAGGCCCUACGGGGCGCAGCAGGCGCGAAAACUUUACAAUGCGGGAAACCGUGAUAAGGGGACACCGAGUGCCAGCAUCAUAUGCUGGCUGUCCAGAUGUGUAAAAUACAUCUGUUAGCAAGGGCCGGGCAAGACCGGUGCCAGCCGCCGCGGUAACACCGGCGGCCCGAGUGGUGAUCGUGAUUAUUGGGUCUAAAGGGUCCGUAGCCGGUUUGGUCAGUCCUCCGGGAAAUCUGAUGGCUCAACCAUUAGGCUUUCGGGGGAUACUGCCAGGCUUGGAACCGGGAGAGGUAAGAGGUACUACAGGGGUAGGAGUGAAAUCUUGUAAUCCCUGUGAGACCACCUGUGGCGAAGGCGUCUUACCAGAACGGGUUCGACGGUGAGGGACGAAAGCUGGGGGCACGAACCGGAUUAGAUACCCGGGUAGUCCCAGCCGUAAACGAUGCUCGCUAGGUGUCAGGCAUGGCGCGACCGUGUCUGGUGCCGCAGGGAAGCCGUGAAGCGAGCCACCUGGGAAGUACGGCCGCAAGGCUGAAACUUAAAGGAAUUGGCGGGGGAGCACAACAACGGGUGGAGCCUGCGGUUUAAUUGGACUCAACGCCGGACAACUCACCGGGGACGACAGCAAUAUGUAGGCCAGGCUGAAGACCUUGC